Long non-coding RNA from Chelonia mydas (Green sea turtle), 1074 nucleotides. RefSeq lists it as uncharacterized. Lineage: Eukaryota; Metazoa; Chordata; Testudines; Cheloniidae. The record is from RefSeq and is a predicted model, not a curated record. The transcript is spliced from 2 exons.
ACAGAUGAGACUCUUAAUGGCUCUGAUGACACAGAUAGUAUUGAUGCUGAGAAGCAAUAAUAAUACCCAACACACAACUAACUGAUGCAUAUCACAGCAUCUGAAAGACUGAAACUUUUAUUAUUUAGCUGUUUACAUGAAGACUACUAUGGGCCAAUACCAGAAUGGAGGGAGCCAGGCUGCUGGAAAAAUGCAAUGCUGUGUCUUUAAAAAUUCAGAGUUGAUUUUUCAAAAGCAAACACUGUUUGCAUCGUAUCAGUCUUCAGCUCAUUUCAGAAACAGCUAAACAAACUGGAAGAUGACGUCAAGCCACUGAUUUGAUCACCAUUUGCUGACUCCUCUGUACAGGUUUUGUUUUUAUAUAGAUUAACAUUUGCAGAAGGAAAAUACAAAGAAGAAAUACUUUAACAUUUCACAAUAAAUAUAAUACAUUUUAAAGUAACAAAUCAACAGCAAUAGCGUUUUUUUAAGGUGCCCUUCACAGUGGUAUCUCUGUUGUGCCCAACCAUUGUGCAACAAUUAAAGAUAGCACUGACUGUGUUUUCAAUUACAAUAUUCUCACAGCCUCUGUUUUAUUUCAACUGUGAUUAACCAAACCCCAGCUGUCCAAAUUUUACAAGUGUGCCCCAAACCCAAAAUUUUGUUUUUCCAAAAUUCUGAUUAUCUGAAUUUCAGAUAUUCUGAACACAGGGCAUCUGUCUAUGGAAAUAUAUAAACAAAAAUACACAUGCACAAUGCAAUUUAAAUCUGUGCAUGCUUACCCUCAGUCUAAGAACUGAAGAGGCUUUCACCUGUAGAGACAAGAACAAAGUUAACAUAGACACAAUAUCAUGUAUCCACACAAAUAUACAGUGUGAAGUCUGUUAUAAUUUAAUUUAUAAAUAUUUGCAUUGCGGAAGAACAGAGAGAUUCCAGUAAGGGAUCGGGUCUCCAGUAUGCUAGGUCUGUACACACAUCUUGAAAAAAAAAAAGGUCCUAAUCCAAAAAGCCUUCAAACUAAGGCUCUGAUUCAGAGAAGUGUUUCUAUUCAGGAAGGGCACUAAAGCACAUGCUUAACUUAAACAUAUGCUUAAA